This 4117-nucleotide long non-coding RNA is filed under the name Arachis ipaensis. RNAcentral's name for it is "long non-coding RNA (AIPA_LNC000275)". The record is from RNAcentral. Lineage: Eukaryota; Viridiplantae; Streptophyta; Magnoliopsida; Fabales; Fabaceae.
ACGAAACGGCAAUUAUAUGUUGUUGGAGAGCGGACCUGGCGGCGUUGUUGUUGUCGUGGAGUUGUUGCUGUAAUUUGAGCUCGGAAGCCUGAGCGGAGAAGAGGUGGUGCAGAGUCUCGGUGAAGAGGAGAGUCAAGUCGAGGGUGGCGGAGAUGUCCUUGGCGAAAACCUUCCAGAGUUCCGAGAAGAAUUUGGCGGCGGCAUUGAAGGCAUCCAUUGCAAGGUGACGGCCAAGGGCAGUGGUGCGGUCGCAAGAGGCUCCAAUCUGGCUGUAUAUGGCGCCAAGGUUGAAGAGAACAGCAGCCUUCUCCAAUUGGAUGCUGUUGCGCUGCGAGGAGACUCCAUUCUCAUGCUCAGAGUAGAAGGCGUCGUACCAGACAAAGACGAUGGGGUCGGAAUGGGAGUCGGAGGAGAUGGCGGUGAAGAGUGGGUCAACCAUGCAAAGACAUUUGAAGUAGUGAAUGAGGCAGUCACGUUGCAUGGGAAGGGAGAGGUCCCCUCGCCCCACCAUGUCGCUGCGGCAUUUGUUUAGGGUUUCCAGAAUGCUUUCAACACUCUGUGCAUCGCUCUCUGAAUAUUUUCUCGCUACCAAGUAGCGUAACGGCCGGUACAGAUCCACCGGAUCACUCUUCUUCAGUGGGAUUGACAGCAUCUUGUCCGGGUUCGGGUUCGGGUUCGGGUUCAGCAAUCCCGCAUCCCCUUGGUCGUGGCCAUGGUGACGACGAUUGAGUAUAUGAUCAGGAAGGUGAAAAUCGAUGAAAAUUGGAACCACUAUGUAUGUGAUUUAUUUCAAAUUUAUAAAUAAAACUUCCACUAGUUAAUUUAUGUUAGUAUUUAAAACUUUUUAACACAACAGUUACAUUGUCUCAAAAUAAUAAUAAUUCGGGGCCAAACACUAGUUAGCAAAUUUGGGACAAGUAAAACUGUAAAAGGUAUAAUGGAUCAACAUGAAUAGCAAAAUGAUGUAAAACUACAAUAUUAUUUUAGGCAAUUACUCCCAUGAAGAUGCCAAAAACAUCUUCUCAUCAUGAUCUUUGUUUAAAAAGUAUAAUUUAUUUAUUUAGCAACACUUUAAAUAAAGGUAACACUUUUACUUCAAAUAAAAUCAAGCCCUACAAUCUAUCAUCUAAUGGUCAAAAUGAUAUAUCUUCACAUGAUGAUAAUCAUUAAAUCUUCAUUGGAGUAGCUACCAUUAUUUUACAUGGUCCAGAUAUUAUAUAAACUGCAAAGUCAGAUAAUCAAACUUUGGGGAUUAUCAUUCUUCACUAGUUCAACCAACAAUAAUACAAAUCCUUUAAGUAAAGAGUUGCAAAUAAUAAAUAAUAAGACUAAAAGAAGAAAAUAUGCAGUUAAUAACUAUUCUAAUGAAAAGCCAACAAAAGAAAAACUUAUUUCAAUUAUACUUUUAUGACUAAACUAUGAACCGAACAAUUUACUGAAAUGAAUUAAAGCCAAAAAAAAAAGUUUGAACAAAGCAGGAUGAAUAAUCUUGAUCCCACGUAACAUCAAUGUCAUUAUUAAUCUCAUGAUCAUCAUCUCCUUCAUAGAACAAAUGUUGACAGAGGCAAAGUUUUUUCAAAAUACAAAGUGGGGAAGCCCAAAAAAUUAGAAGAAAUUUUGUUCAUCCACACAGUAAAAUUGGAUUUUGUACAUAAUUAUUCAAUACCAAAGAAGAAAUUCAUUAUUUUUUUUGUUUUAUUACUUUGAAUUUGGGAUUAUCAAGGUUAUCAUAGAAACACAUAUCAUCAGAAAAGAAAUUUUUACCAGAUGACAUCAAACUAAUUUAAUCAUGAAUAUUUACCAACAAUACAAAAUGAUUAGUGAACCUUCAACCUGGGUAAGAAAGAAAACCGCAAUAAACAAAGCAGAACUCAUCAAUGGAUCUUGCAGCACAUCAUAAAAUUGUGUAGAUAGAAACAAUAAAUUUUGAAGGAAUAGUUUUGAACAAGAGUAACUAAUUCCUAAAGCUUAUUUAGUUUAAAAGAAAAAAAAAAGUUAAUUCCUAAAGCUCACAUAGUUUUUCUCUAUGGUAAUGUUAUUGUGGUGGUUUGGACUCCUGCAAGUUCAUGUCCUUCAAUGCCAACCUUAGUGCCUCUAAGGUUGCAUUGGCCACAAGAUUCCCAUCCUUAAUAUUGACCGGGCUGAUCUGUGAGAGAAGGUCCAAGCAUGGUGGUUGACAUCCUUCUACAAGCAGGGAUUUAGCCUUACCAUACCCUGAAAGAAAUUGUUCAGUGAUAUAACCAAGAUCAGUUACAACAGGGCAGGUUUUCAUCUUCAGAUAUUGAGGUAUCGAGGAUUGAACAAGAUUCUCAGCCAAAAGCUCAAGUGUCGACAGAUCAUAAGCUUUCUGAUAAAGCCGAGGAACCUGCAUCAUCCCAAUCACACAAUUUAACAAAUCAAGAUUGAUAUCAAUUAAAAUAAUCAGCUGAAGAGCUAGAUGAUGAUAUAUACACGAUAGAAUUAAUUUACUUCAUGAAGGUUCAAUUGCUUUUAUUUAGACCCCAAAACUUUGCAAAGGUGAGUCAUUAGCAAAGUUUGAAGAUUAAACAGAGACAAUUGAAAUUUUAAGAACUAAAUUUAGAUUCACGUGCUAGUUCAUAUUAUCGCCUACCGGAGAUGAUGAUAGAUCAGAAUAGGAAUGAGGACAAUUCCAUGUCAACUCGGCAAUCUGAGCUGCUAUUAUCUCUUUCACCAUCUUGGCCCGUUCUACUGACAAGUCACUGGUGGUGGCAGAUACCUUCCCAGCCUCAAGCCACAGUUUCGAGAACCAAUGCGAAGCAUCAUUUAAGGCGUCCUUGGCAAGGCGAUGGCCUUGGAUGGUGGUGAGAUCGCAGGAGAGAGCAAUUCGCUUGGAGAGGGCUCCCAGGUUGAAGAGAACAGAGGCCUUCUCGAAAUGGAUGUUGUGCUGAGAAGAGUUCUCUUGUGAGUUGAAUGAAUUGUACCAAACAAAGAUAGGUGGAUUGGGUGAGGUAGUCAUGGGGAACAAAGGCUCAAUCAUGCAAAGGCAUUUCAAAUACUGGAUGAGGAAAUCACGGCGAACGGGUAGAGAGAGGUCAUUACGCUGCAUUUCACUGCGCAAUUUGUCUACCGUUUUGAAAAGGCCUUCUACUCUGUUUGCCUCGCUCUCAGAGUAUUUAAGGGCAACAUAACUGCGAAGGGACUCAUAGAGGUCCAAGGGCUCACUCUUCUUCAAACCGAAUGACAGCAUACCUGACGAAGAAGAGAGGAUUGCGAAAUUUUUUGGAUAAGGAGGAGGCAUGUCCCAUGGGUUAGCCACCAGCUUUCCACCAUCCAUAAUCUUGAAAGGGCUGUUCUCGGAGAGGAGGAGGUCAAGGUAUAUUAGUUGUUGCUUGGGUGUCCACAGGUCCGAGUGCCUGCAAAUCCCUCUAACUAAUUUUUCGGUGAUGGAUUCUGCAUCAUGAUCAAGGGGACAAGAUUGGACCGAUGAGGAUGUUUUAGGUCGCUUGGGUUUGGGUAGGAUGGAUGAUUUCCUCUGAAGAGCCUCCGCCUGAAAGAAUUUCUUCUUCUGAUGAAGAUGAGUUAUCCAAGUUUCGUCAAAUAAGCAGACAUGCUUGAUUGCAGCCGAAUCACCAAGUAUAAGAUCAUAUGCACUCAGAUAAUGCUUGCAAACCUACAUCAUCAUCAUCAUCAACAUCAUCCUUUUGAAAAUCUAAAAUGAAAAAACAAAUGCAACAUCAGUAAGUGUCAAGAGUCAAGACAGACCGAUUUAAACGAAUCGUCGUGGAGUUGUUGCUGUAAUUUGAGCUCGGAAGCCUGAGCGGAGAAGAGGUGGUGCAGAGUCUCGGUGAAGAGGAGAGUCAAGUCGAGGGUGGCGGAGAUGUCCUUGGCGAAAACCUUCCAGAGUUCCGAGAAGAAUUUGGCGGCGGCAUUGAAGGCAUCCAUUGCAAGGUGACGGCCAAGGGCGGUGGUGCGGUCGCAAGAGGCUCCAAUCUGGCUGUAUAUGGCGCCAAGGUUGAAGAGAACAGAAGCCUUCUCCAAUUGGAUGCUGUUGCGCUGCGAGGAGACCCCAUUCUCAUGCUCAGAGUAGAAGGCGUCGUACCAGACAAAGACGAUGGGUUCGGAAUGGGAGUCGGAGGAGGUAGCGGUGAAGAGUGGC